GAGUUUGAUCAUGGCUCAGAUUGAACGCUGGCGGCAUGCCUUACACAUGCAAGUCGAACGGUAACAGGUCUUCGGAUGCUGACGAGUGGCGAACGGGUGAGUAAUACAUCGGAACGUGCCCGAUCGUGGGGGGAUAACGGAGCGAAAGCUUUGCUAAUACCGCAUACGAUCUACGGAUGAAAGCAGGGGACCGCAAGGCCUUGCGCGGACGGAGCGGCCGAUGGCAGAUUAGGUAGUUGGUGGGAUAAAAGCUUACCAAGCCGACGAUCUGUAGCUGGUCUGAGAGGACGACCAGCCACACUGGGACUGAGGACACGGCCCAGGACUCCUACGGGAGGCAGCAGUGGGAAUUUGGACAAUGGGCGAAAGCCUGAUCCAGCCAUGCCGCGUGCAGGAUGAAGGCCU
RNAcentral lists this ribosomal RNA (405 nucleotides) under uncultured microorganism. Its description in RNAcentral is "bacterial SSU rRNA". It matches the Rfam family "Bacterial small subunit ribosomal RNA", at positions 9 to 417 of the family's 1533-position model. The record is from RNAcentral.